GGUAAACGCGAUGGAGGACCACCAUGGGAUUUACGCAGUCGCUCAAUGCCCUUGUGAUCUGUGCAGCGUUCAUAUUCGUUGGAGCAAUGCUCUUCAUCUGAUCAUGAAAAGCAUUGAAUAAAAUCAGAAAUUCAAUGACGGGAGCGUUUCGGCGCUCCCGUUUU
Molecule: small RNA, 164 nt
Filed under: Hoeflea sp. EC-HK425
Lineage: Bacteria; Pseudomonadati; Pseudomonadota; Alphaproteobacteria; Hyphomicrobiales; Rhizobiaceae
Description: Atu_C9
Rfam family: Rhizobiales sRNA Atu_C9
Source: RNAcentral